CCCGGGCUAGGCGCGGGCGCAUGCCGGUAGAUCGCGGGUAUUUAUAUGCACGGGGGUAGCGGGUCUCCGUCGUCGUUGUGGUUCUCAUCGGCCGACACCGGAAACCGAGGGGUGUGGUGUGCAACGGAGAGAGGGAGGCGAGAGGUAGUCCAUUGUAUAGGUACGUUUUAACGUUUGGUGUUACGCUCAAGUAAAUAGUCUACACGUCCGCUCUGUGACCUAAUAGUCUACACGCACCGAUCUUGCGGGACACUUAAAUCGUUGGCUACAUUAGAAAAAUAAAAACCAAAACGAUUAAGGGUGAGUUGAGGCAUGUUCUAAGGUGUUAAAAUACUCGAAGACACAUAAUAAGAAAACUUACUAUGAAUGCAUUAGUGGAGAAAAGUAUUUUUUUGUUCUUUGCAAUAUACACGUUCUCAAAACCUCUAAAAUCUUAGCGCCCAUUCAAACAACGAAGCUCAACUUCUAAAUGUGGCCGUUUUCUGUUCUACAUGUGUCUUUCGAAAUUCGUGAUUAAUUCGGAAUCACUUAUAGAUGUGAUCAUUCAAAAAGAAGUACAACCUUUACGAAUCGUGACAUCUAUGAGGGAUUCCGAACCCACCAUAACGCAACACACCGGUGAACUAGUUGAAACCGGAGGGCAGCCAUCACAUAUCUAAGUUCCUUUUAUCCAUAUACGUUUCCAUGGACACACGAUGAACUAAGUGGAAAAAAGAGCUGUCCAUGUACUUCCUUAUACCAACGAUGGAAGUAUACGUACGAUGAUAAAUAAACAAAACAAAAAUAUUGCCACGUUUAAGAACAGAUACCAAUUUCAUUUAGUCGUGAUUUAACUACCGUUUAUUCCAGUACGGAAUGUUUUUUUAUUUGUCAAACAUUCGUCCACUCAGAUCUUUGACUGCGCUAAAGAUAAAAACUAAAACGAUUGACGGCCAGUUGAGUCUUAAAGCAUGUUCUGAGCUGUUGGUAUAUUCGAAUACAUAAGUGAUCGUGUAUACGGCCACGUAACGUUGCUUUUUUUUACUAUAAAACACAUUCGUAUUACAGGGUUUUAUAGUCUAAGUGACAUUUCCAGUACGACGUUACGUCAUAGAAAGAUGUUUUACUUAUAUUUUUUAUGUAGCGUUAAAUCGGCACAAGUAUAAAAGAAACAGCCUGUAUUAAAGGGUGACUAAAGUAAAUUCAUAUCAGGGAAAAAUUACCGUAAAUUCAUAUUAGGAAAGCAAUUAAUGGUACUUCAGGAGUUGGCAAAAUCAGCCCUUAGUCUAGGAAGGAAAAGAUUAAAUCAUCGGGGUUGUGUAACUUCGAAUGUCUAGAAAGAAAAUUAAUGGGAUGGAAAAAUGGAGUUUAGAAAGUACAUUUUAAAUAAUUCUAGUGUUAGAAAGAAAAUCAAUAAGGUGGCCAAAUUGGUAUCAGGAAAGAAAUUAAUCGGUGUAGGCAAAUUUAUAAGAUAAGUUCGGGUGUUAGGAAAGAAAUAAUCGAGUAAGCGAAUUAAUCGAGCAGGAUUUGUACUACUGAUGGUGAGCAUAUAAAUCUCGCUCAACCCUAAUCAUUUACACUUUCCACGUAUCCAGCAACCAACAAUGUAGUUUCUCGAUCUGUUAUCCUUUACACAAAUUAAAGAUGUUACAACUAAAUAAAACUGGGUUAAUAAAAAGCGCCGAAGAUAUUUUCGGUUAUUUUCCGGGUAGUUGCAUGUUCAUAGAUCGGGUUUAGCGUAUCGCACAUUUGGCUUGUUUCCUGAUUUGGUUUGGUUCUUAUGGAUAAGGGAAAUUAUCAUCCAUAUCUCCAUAGCUAAGGAAACCUUAUUAUGUCUCAAUAAACAAGCCUAGUUUCUUUAGUACUUUGUUAUGUGUCACCAAAAUCUCUAAAAUGUUACCACUUGAUUAAACUACGAAGCUCUCAAGUCUAUAUGUCUGUUUCGAAAUUUCCUCAACUCGGAAUCACUUAUAGAUGUGGUCAUUCAAAAAAAGAAGUACGGUCUUCAUGAAGUAUCACAUCUAUGAGGGAUUCCGAAUCACCGUAACGUAACAACACCGGUGUACAGUCAACUAGUAGAAAAUCGGAGGGUAGCACGUAUCCGUUACAUAUAUCGAGGUUUGUUUUCAUCCAAAUACGUUUGUCUACACACACGAUUAACUAAGCGGAAAAAAAGAACUGUUCAUGUAUGUGCGAUUGACAUGAUGAUAAAUAAUCAACAUAAAAAUCUUGGUAUGUUUAAAAGGAGAUACCUGCGAGCCGUUACCCGGUUCCGCCCUCAGUAUCCCAAUCGAUUAGAUAACGGACUCAUCAACCGAACGAACACAAACCCAACUCGUUGGGUACAGAAGACGAAGCCAGUAGUGGAUGUACGACCGAACGCGUGCACGAGAACACGUUGGUACGUUGGUAAGGAAAAUGGAGGACACUUAAUAGUAUACACUGAUCAUGCAGGGGAUUUAGGUCGUUUCUUACGUUAAAAUGAAAGACAAAACGAUUUACGGUGAGUUAAGGCAUGUUCUAAGGUAUUAAAAUACUCGAAUACAUAAAAAGAAACUUUUUUACUAUGUAUUAGUGAAGAAAAUUAUUUUUUGCUCUUUCUUAUACGUUAACAACACCUCUAAAAUCAUAUCGCUCAUUCAAACAACGAAUCUUGACUUCUGUAUGUGGCCGUUUCUGUUCUACAUGUGUAUUUCGAAAUUCGUGAUUUCGGAAUCACUUAUAGAUGUGAUCAUUCAAAAAGAAGUACAACCUUUAUGAAUUCUAACAUCUAUGAGGGAUUCCGAACCCACCAUAACGUAACACAUCGGUGAACUAGUUGAAACCGGAGGGCAGCCGUCAGAUAUCAUUUUCCUACACACACAAUGAACUAAGUUGAAAAAAGAGCUGUCCAUGUGCUUCCUUAUACAAACGAUCGAAGUAUACGAUGAUGAAUAAACAAAAUAAAAAUAUUGCUACAUUUAACAACAGUUACCAAUUUCAUUUAGUCAUAACUUAACGACCGUUUAUUCCACUACGGGAUGUUUUGUUGUUUGUAAAACGUUUGUCCACUUAAAUCUUUGCCUGCGUCAAAGAUAUAAGCUAAAACAAUUGCGGAUCAGUUGACUCUUAAAGCAUGUUCUGAGGUGUUAGUAUACUCGUAUACAUAAAGGAAACCUAUACCUUAAUUAAGAAACGUUGUUUCUUUAACAAUUUGUUAUGUGUCAUCAAAAUCUAUACAAUGUUACUACUUGAUCAGACAACGAAGCUCCCAACUCUACAUGAACGUUUCGAAAUUUCGUCAGCUCGGAAUCACGUAUAGAUGUGGACAUUCAAAAAAAGAAGUACGGUCUUUAUGAAUUGUCACAUCUAUGAGGGAUCCCGAACCACCAUAACGUAACAACACCGGUGUACAGUCAACUCGUAGAAACUCGGAGGGUAGCGGGUAGCCGUUACAUAUAUCGAGGUUCUUUUUCAUCCAAAUACGUUUUCGUACACACAAGACGAACUAAGCGGAAAAAAGAGCUGUUCAUGUAUAUAUGUACGAUUUACAUGAUGUGAAAUAAUAAACUUAAAAAUAUUGGUAUCUUUAAAAGUAGAUACGAGCGUUACCCGGUUCCGCUUUCGGUGUCCCAAUCGAUUAAAGGACGGACUUAUCAACCGAACGAACACAAAACAGACUCGUUGGGUACAGAAGACGAAGCCAGUAGAGGAUGUACAACCGAACGCGUCCACGAGAACACAUUGAUAAGGAACAUGAGGGAACACUUAAUAGUAUACAAUGAUUAUGCAGGACAUUUAAGUCGUUGACCACGUUAAAAAUAAAAACCAAAACGAUUAACGCUGAGUUGAGGCAUGUUCUAAGGUGUUAAAAUAAUCGCAGAUAUACAUUAGUGAAAAUUACCUUUUGGCUCUUUAUUAUACGUUAUCAACACCUCUAAAAUCUUAGCGCUCAUUCAAACAACGAAACCUGACUUCUAAAUGUGAUCGUUUUCUGUUCUACAUGCGUUUUUCGAAAUUCGUGAUUUCGGAAUCACUUAUAGAUGUGAUCAUUCAAAAAGAAGUACAACCUUUACGAAUCGUAACAUCUAUGAGGGAUUCCGAACCCACCAUAACGUAACAGCACCUGUGAACUAGUAGAAACCAGAGGGUAGCCGUCAGAUAUAGAGCUUCUUUUUAUCGACUACUCCUGUACUGAUAAUAUCAGUAUGGGUAUCGGGAACGAUGAAGCGUAUACCCUGGCUAAUGAUCUCGAGCACGCGCGGUUGCUUUAAUAGUCCUUACUUCCGGGAUUGUACCUAUUCUCCCUACUUGUAGCCUCGUACUAGUUCGUACCUCUACUUCCCCGUGCGAUUCCCGUGUUCUUGCCUCAAAGGUCACCUCUUAAGUCGUCAAACUUCGGUGGUACUACUGUAUACUCCUGUACCUGCUUGAUAUCUUCUACUGGAAAAUAUUUAAAACAGGUAUCGAACAAUAUACACAACACGGUGGAGUAAAAACGCGGUUCGGGAACAUUAAACUUUUCAUGAUGAAGUAUCCGACAAAAAUCUCAUACAUGACAUCCCUCUUGCUGAAUCCUCCCUAAAAUCGGGGUGGAACGGUUUCCACCUUUUUUUAAGUGAGAAGGGGGAUAUUUAUAUCGGGAGUCCCGCAGCAAAUGUGAACCCAAAACAAAUCUAAUUUCAAACGG
Molecule: ribosomal RNA, 4648 nt
Filed under: Triticum aestivum (bread wheat)
Lineage: Eukaryota; Viridiplantae; Streptophyta; Magnoliopsida; Poales; Poaceae
Description: partial small subunit ribosomal RNA
Source: RNAcentral